AUCCGGCCCCAACACUUGAAAACAAAAUUAACGGGAAACGCUCGUCAUCUUCUUCUUCCUCUUCGUCUCCGUGUUGGGAAUAUAUUUCUCUUCUCUCUCUCUUUCUCUCCCUUUUUUAUUCAUCUAUAUACAUAUAUUAUUCUUCACUGACUUCGCUCUUACAAAACCCUCUUCUUUUACUCUCUUUCUCUCUGUCUCUUCACUUUCUUUCUCAUCUCUUGGUUUCACUAUAUAAAAUGAUCGUACCCAACAAGAAGAAGAAAAAGAACAGGAGAUUACGUUGGCUCCAGAGAGCAACUGCUAUAUACAGUUUCUAGAGAUCUUUUCUUCAUUCUAAUGAAGCAUUCAGGUGAAGAAUUCACUGGACCAAACAUAUUUGGUGGCGUACAUGGGAAAGCCAGGCAUUUCUCGUCCCUUCUUGUUCUUCUUGUUCUUGAUCUUCUUUUUUUUUUUUUUCUGGUUUUUAAUGAGGGAUGAAUUGAGAUAGUUAAUUACAAGAAAUAUCUGUAAACUGUUUGUUAGAAUUUUCAAGGCAGAUUCAUAGCAAUGGAAAGAAGGUUUGACUGCUGGUUUCCCAGAAGCAAGUUCCAUUUCAAAAUUUUACGGCUCGCAUUACGCCCGAGGCUUACUUAUUGACUUUUGGUAUUUUUAUUUAAUAUUUUUAAUAAUUUAUUGUCAACUGAUAAAUGAUUAAAUUAAUAAUAUAAUAUAUUUAAUUUGUAA
This is a long non-coding RNA of Hevea brasiliensis (rubber tree), 723 nucleotides long. RefSeq lists it as uncharacterized. The record is from RefSeq and is a predicted model, not a curated record. Lineage: Eukaryota; Viridiplantae; Streptophyta; Magnoliopsida; Malpighiales; Euphorbiaceae. The transcript has 2 exons.